CCGCGUGUGUGAAGAAGGCCUUUUGGUUGUAAAGCACUUUAAGCGAGGAGGAGGCUCCUUUAGUUAAUACCUAAAGUGAGUGGACGUUACUCGCAGAAUAAGCACCGGCUAACUCUGUGCCAGCAGCCGCGGUAAUACAGAGGGUGCGAGCGUUAAUCGGAUUUACUGGGCGUAAAGCGUGCGUAGGCGGCUUUUUAAGUCGGAUGUGAAAUCCCUGAGCUUAACUUAGGAAUUGCAUUCGAUACUGGGAAGCUAGAGUAUGGGAGAGGAUGGUAGAAUUCCAGGUGUAGCGGUGAAAUGCGUAGAGAUCUGGAGGAAUACCGAUGGCGAAGGCAGCCAUCUGGCCUAAUACUGACGCUGAGGUACGAAAGCAUGGGGAGCAAACAGGAUUAGAUACCCUGGUAGUCCAUGCCGUAAACGAUGUCUACUAGCCGUUGGGGCCUUUGAGGCUUUAGUGGCGCAGCUAACGCGAUAAGUAGACCGCCUGGGGAGUACGGUCGCAAGACUAAAACUCAAAUGAAUUGACGGGGGCCCGCACAAGCGGUGGAGCAUGUGGUUUAAUUCGAUGCAACGCGAAGAACCUUACCUGGCCUUGACAUACUAAGAACUUUCCAGA
This 616-nucleotide ribosomal RNA is filed under the name Acinetobacter schindleri. RNAcentral describes it as "bacterial SSU rRNA". It matches the Rfam family "Bacterial small subunit ribosomal RNA", at positions 397 to 1004 of the family's 1533-position model. The record is from RNAcentral. Lineage: Bacteria; Pseudomonadati; Pseudomonadota; Gammaproteobacteria; Moraxellales; Moraxellaceae.